GCAAGUCGAGGGGCAGCAUUUCCAGCUUGCUGGAAGAUGGCGACCGGCGCACGGGUGAGUAACGCGUAUGCAACCUACCUAUUACAGGGGGAUAGCCCAGAGAAAUUUGGAUUAAUACCCCGUAGUACUGUUUAACCGCAUGGUUUUAACAGUUAAAGCUUCGGCGGUAAUAGAUGGGUAUGCGUAAGAUUAGCUAGUUGGUAAGGUAACGGCUUACCAAGGCAACGAUCUUUAGGGGGCCUGAGAGGGUGACC
Molecule: ribosomal RNA, 254 nt
Filed under: uncultured bacterium
Lineage: Bacteria
Description: partial 16S ribosomal RNA
Rfam family: Bacterial small subunit ribosomal RNA
Source: RNAcentral